CACGUAGGGUGCGAGCGUUGUCCGGAAUUAUUGGGCGUAAAGAGCUCGUAGGCGGCUUGUUGCGUCGACUGUGAAAACCCGCGGCUUAACCGCGGGCUUGCAGUUGAUACGGGCAGGCUAGAGUUCGGUAGGGGAGACUGGAAUUCCUGGUGUAGCGGUGAAAUGCGCAGAUAUCAGGAGGAACACCGGUGGCGAAGGCGGGUCUCUGGGCAGUAACUGACGCUGAGGAGCGAAAGCGUGGGGAGCGAACAGG
This 253-nucleotide ribosomal RNA is filed under the name uncultured bacterium. Its description in RNAcentral is "partial 16S ribosomal RNA". It matches the Rfam family "Bacterial small subunit ribosomal RNA", at positions 524 to 776 of the family's 1533-position model. The record is from RNAcentral.